RNAcentral lists this transfer RNA (69 nucleotides) under Sphaerodactylus townsendi. RNAcentral describes it as "tRNA-Ala". It matches the Rfam family "tRNA". Rfam says of the family: Transfer RNA (tRNA) molecules are approximately 80 nucleotides in length. Their secondary structure includes four short double-helical elements and three loops (D, anti-codon, and T loops). Lineage: Eukaryota; Metazoa; Chordata; Lepidosauria; Squamata; Sphaerodactylidae. The record is from RNAcentral.
GACAUGGCUCAGUGGCAGAGCAUCUGCCUUGCACAUGGAAAGCACUGGGUUCAAUCCCGGGUAUCUCCA